CCCCGGCAGCCCGACUGAUGGCCGAUAUUAUUGGGCCUAAAGCGUCCGUAGCUGGCCGCGCAAGUCCGUCGGGAAAUCCACUCGCUUAACGAGUGGGCGUCCGGCGGAAACUGUGCGGCUUGGGACCGGAAGAUCCAAGGGGUACGUCCGGGGUAGGAGUGAAAUCCCGUAAUCCUGGACGGACCACCGAUGGCGAAAGCACCUUGGAAGGACGGAUCCGACAGUGAGGGACGAAAGCUAGGGUCUAGAACCGG
Molecule: ribosomal RNA, 254 nt
Filed under: uncultured archaeon
Lineage: Archaea
Description: partial 16S ribosomal RNA
Rfam family: Archaeal small subunit ribosomal RNA
Source: RNAcentral